This 201-nucleotide ribosomal RNA is filed under the name Salmonella enterica subsp. enterica serovar Typhimurium. RNAcentral describes it as "partial 16S ribosomal RNA". It matches the Rfam family "Bacterial small subunit ribosomal RNA", at positions 341 to 534 of the family's 1533-position model. Lineage: Bacteria; Pseudomonadati; Pseudomonadota; Gammaproteobacteria; Enterobacterales; Enterobacteriaceae. The record is from RNAcentral.
ACGGGAGGCAGCAGUGGGGAAUAUUGCACAAUGGGCGCAAGCCUGAUGCAGCCAUGCCGCGUGUAUGAAGAAGGCCUUCGGGUUGUAAAGUACUUUCAGCAGGGAGGAAGGUGUUGUGGUUAAUAACCGCAGCAAUUGACGUUACCCGCAGAAGAAGCACCGGCUAACUCCGUGCCAGCAGCCGCGGUAAUACGGAGGGUG